CUCCUUUGACAAUUAAUGGAGUGGGCUUUUUUUUUUAGAUUUUUAUUGGCCUUCUGACCUAUGAUAACUCUACUGUUGAGUUUAAAGUGGUUCAUUAUUUCAUCACCCCACUAUUUUACUCGUGAUCUAACGACAAAUGAUAGCUAACGACUUGUGACAUUUUAGGAUUAGAUUCCAAUUUAAAUAGCACAUCUCAUACUGGUUUCUGUGCUAAAUAUAUUUUGUUUUGGAUAUGCUUUUGUCUGUCUUUACUUAUAAGAUGCAAUCCAAAUGAACCAGCCCAAUGUACUUUAUUGUUUCAGGUUGAUUCACAUUACAUCAUCUCCAGCCUGGCUCCAGUGAUGAGUGAUACUGGAUCGCUAAAACACAAGACAGAGGCACAGAUACUGGAGUUCUUUCAAGAUUUCCUUCUCGCCCUGGAGGAUGGGGAUGCCAGUCAGCCUGAGGAAGAAGACAAUGGAUCACCUCUCUCUGUUCCUCGAGUGAUGCAAUGGCUGACGGGGCAGGCUCACAGACACCUGCUGGUUUCAGAAAGGCAGAAUUUUAAAAUUAAAGUUCUUUUUGAUCACAGUUGUCUUGAACGCAUGCCAAAGCACACAGUGUGCUACCCUGUUGUGAGUGCAUGCAGCACCACAAUAACAUUUCCCACAGUCCAUCUGAAAGACAGCGAAGCAUUUAACUCCAACCUUGAAAUUGCAAUUCGAUAUGGUUCCAGGUUUGAUAGGGUUUAACUUUUGUUUUACUAAAGCUGAUGUGUUAAGUUAGUUAAUUUUAGUUCGACCCUGAUCCUCUUAAACUAUUAGUAAUCAACACUACUGCAAAAUGUCUCAUGUUGUCUGCUGGGUGUUCUGUUAUUUUCUUGCAACCAAGUAUUUUUUUUUUCAUAAUAUUUGCUAACAUGGUCUUGCAUAUAGAAAGGUUCUGAGAUAUACUGUACAAUUAAUGGUAUACCAGCAUUGACACCCCCUCCUCCUCUGAAGAAAAAUUUAACAUGACAGGAUCAUUUCAAUUGGCAACAUGCUCAAAAGCUGUUUUGUCUCAUGAGUGUUAUACACUAGUCUCAAAUUUAUACAAAGCAAAAUUGAAAAACAUUUCCUUUUUUGGCAUUUCUGCUUGUUUCCCAGAUAAGGAUGGGUAUGGCAUUUGCUAUUAAGUGUUGACCGCUCCAGAAAGUGUCAGAGGUGUUACAAAUUGUGUUGAAGUUAUAGUCGUUUGUUACUAUAAUAAUUGUUAAUUAUUAUUAUUAUUAGAAUUUGAUCCUAUGAUGAUAAUGUAUUUUAUUGUCAUAUGAAAAUCUGUUUUAAACAUUGGUAUUCAUACAGGGUUUUUACACUCAAGCAGGUCCCAAACUUAAUUGAUUAGAAUAUUCAAAUGUUCCUAUAUGGCAGCCGGGCGAUUCAGGUUCUACUGUUAAGUCAUUAUUAUUCUGUAUUUUGCCCCAACAGUGAAAUAAUGUUGAAUUAAAGAGUAAGUUCUCUUCAGUA
Rhinichthys klamathensis goyatoka is the source of this 1484-nucleotide long non-coding RNA. RefSeq lists it as uncharacterized. NCBI's taxonomy places the organism in Eukaryota, Metazoa, Chordata, Actinopteri, Cypriniformes, Leuciscidae. The transcript is spliced from 2 exons. The record is from RefSeq and is a predicted model, not a curated record.